RNAcentral lists this ribosomal RNA (454 nucleotides) under Bacillus sp. (in: firmicutes). RNAcentral describes it as "bacterial SSU rRNA". It matches the Rfam family "Bacterial small subunit ribosomal RNA", at positions 72 to 509 of the family's 1533-position model. The record is from RNAcentral. Lineage: Bacteria; Bacillati; Bacillota; Bacilli; Caryophanales; Bacillaceae.
UUAAGAGCUUGCUCUUAUGAAGUUAGCGGCGGACGGGUGAGUAACACGUGGGUAACCUGCCCAUAAGACUGGGAUAACUCCGGGAAACCGGGGCUAAUACCGGAUAACAUUUUGAACCGCAUGGUUCGAAAUUGAAAGGCGGCUUCGGCUGUCACUUAUGGAUGGACCCGCGUCGCAUUAGCUAGUUGGUGAGGUAACGGCUCACCAAGGCAACGAUGCGUAGCCGACCUGAGAGGGUGAUCGGCCACACUGGGACUGAGACACGGCCCAGACUCCUACGGGAGGCAGCAGUAGGGAAUCUUCCGCAAUGGACGAAAGUCUGACGGAGCAACGCCGCGUGAGUGAUGAAGGCUUUCGGGUCGUAAAACUCUGUUGUUAGGGAAGAACAAGUGCUAGUUGAAUAAGCUGGCACCUUGACGGUACCUAACCAGAAAGCCACGGCUAACUACGUGCC